UUAGUUGGUGGAGUGAUUUGUCUGGUUAAUUCCGUUAACGAACGAGACCUUAACCUGCUAAAUAGUUGUGCGAGCCUUCAGUCCGCCUGGGCAUUGGGGCAACCUGGUGUUCAGGUUGAACGGCUCGCAUUUAACUUCUUAGAGGGACUAUUCGUAUCAUAGCGAAUGGAAGUUUGAGGCAAUAACAGG
This 189-nucleotide ribosomal RNA is filed under the name uncultured eukaryote. Its description in RNAcentral is "partial small subunit ribosomal RNA". It matches the Rfam family "Eukaryotic small subunit ribosomal RNA", at positions 1294 to 1460 of the family's 1831-position model. The record is from RNAcentral.